UUUAAUUUCUAUUGUGUGUUUUUAUAUGAGUAGUUUUUGUUUUUGCAUCUUCCCCAGUCCAAGCACACAUUACCAGAAAGAAGCUAGUUCAUUCGUUGUUUGUAGACAUGCUAGACAUUUGGCAGUUGAAUAUGUUUGAAUCUGAUCACGCUAGGAAACUAGGAGGAUAUGGAUACCUAUGCUUAGACUAGUUUUGAUCUGCUAGACUAUAAUACAAAUACCAAACAGGCAAAGUGUUUAACAAAAUUUAUUUACUUCCUUCUUUUAUUUAAUGGUGCACGACAUCUUACAUUGAUAUUUCAGGUUGUGAAGUUCCAAGAAGGAACAGCUUUCUGUUUUCAUUUUAAAUAUUAUGUAUGUUUCUUAAUGAAAGCGUGUGGACAAUGUACAGAUAAGUUGGAAAAAUGACACCUAAAGUUGGAUAGCAAAAACUAAGAACCACCUGUUCAAUCGGCGAAGAGAGGCUGGAAGCAGGGCAGGAGCUUUUAAUAUUGGCAAUGGCUUGAAGGAAGCUGCGAAGGAUUGGUUUGCUGGCAUAUAUAUGAGGUAUUUGCUUCUAUUAACCUGGGGGACAAGAAGUGGAUUGAGAAACUGUUUUCAGAAGAAGAGAUCCUUGCUGCCUUGAUGAGCUUUAAGAGUGAUGAAGCCCUUUACCUAAUGGCUAUUCUACAGCUUCUCUGCAGAGUUAUUGAGAACUAGUAAAACAUGAUGUUCUUCUUCUGUUGGAGUCCUUUGGGAAGGGGACUUUUAUUAAUAGUUUGAAGUUAAAUUUCUUUACCCUGAUUUGGAGACUUCUGAUGCCACCAAUAAUAAUGAUUUUUGUUGUAUAAGCAUUGUUGGAUGCAUUUACAAACUUAUUACUAUAGUUUUGUUAGGCAGGCUCAACUUGUUUAUUCUUCCUUUAAACAGUCAGUGUUGCUAAAAGAUUGAAGGCCAUCCAACAUCGGUUUUGAUGGGUUGACUCAGAUGAUCAAAGAGACUCCCUUUGGUGGCUUGGGAUGUAGUUAAACAUCCUCAUAAAAUGGAUGGACUUGGUAUCAAGUCUUUGGUGAGUUUUAACAUUUGAAAAUUUAUGACUGAACAGGACUGCUUGUGGCGGCAGGGAAUUAGGUCAAAGUAUAGGCUGGAGAAAAGGGGUUGAAAGACUAAAAGUCUAAGGGUUCAUAUGGCACUAGUCUUUGGAGGUGGAUUGGUAAGACUGGAAGGAUUUUAGGUUUAUAUAUAGUUCAAGCUCAGCAGUGGAUGAGAAUUCGGUUUUGGAUGAUACUGGAAUCUGAGGUUUACAUUUAGUUGAAGAUUUAUAUUUAUUUCUCUUAUUCAUCAUGCUACUCUGUCGGUUAUAACCUUUGAGAAUAUUUCUUAUUCUUUUGAUAGAGUGCGAAAUGUUCAGUUUUGGACCCUUUGUUUUCUGUUUAGAGGCAAUCUGCUUCAUUAGCAGAAGAUUGAGGUACAUCAUAGAUAUCUUGAUUGACUUGUAAACUCUGUCUUUGUAUCCGUACUGUGCCACCUUGGUAUUUAUAAUAAAUCCUUCUUUUUCUCUCAAAUAAUAAUAAUAAAAAUAAACACAAGAUUGACUUCUUUGUUAGUUUUAAGUUAACAAAAGAAAGAUAGCCCCAAGCUUUGAUAUAAAGAGAACAGUCAAGUAAAGCAAGGAGUUUAGCAAUUGAUAAAGCCUGCUACUUAUUUCACAUUUCGCAUAUAGACUUUUCAAAAGGUGGUAACAUCUUUUUUUGAUAGAAAAAGAAGUAUUACUGAGAAAGGUGACACAAAAUGAAUAUUAGUGCAGAUAAGUUAUCCAGCUGGGAAACGAAAUACAAUGAAACACAAAACACGGAAAACAAAACAUUAGUUAUAGAAACAGAUAACUUGUCACAAGAUCAAGGCACCCCAACUCGUAUGUAGAAUAGAAAAA
Molecule: non-coding RNA, 1912 nt
Organism: Carica papaya (papaya)
Lineage: Eukaryota; Viridiplantae; Streptophyta; Magnoliopsida; Brassicales; Caricaceae
Source: RefSeq, a predicted model, not a curated record